RNAcentral lists this ribosomal RNA (528 nucleotides) under uncultured bacterium. Its description in RNAcentral is "bacterial SSU rRNA". It matches the Rfam family "Bacterial small subunit ribosomal RNA", at positions 774 to 1302 of the family's 1533-position model. The record is from RNAcentral.
AGUCAAUAGAUACCCUGGUAGUCCACGCCGUAAACGAUGAGUACUAGGUGUAGGAGGUAUCGACUCCUUCUGUGCCGCAGUUAACACAAUAAGUACUCCGCCUGGGAAGUACGGUCGCAAGAUUAAAAACUCAAAGGAAUUGACGGGGGCCCGCACAAGCAGCGGAGCAUGUGGUUUAAUUCGAAGCAACGCGAAGAACCUUACCUAGACUUGACAUCUCCUGAAUAGCGCAGAGAUGCGUGAAAGCCCCUUGGGGCAGGAAGACAGGUGGUGCAUGGUUGUCGUCAGCUCGUGUCGUGAGAUGUUGGGUUAAGUCCCGCAACGAGCGCAACCCCUAUUAUUAGUUGCUACCAUUAAGUUGAGCACUCUAAUGAGACUGCCCGGUUAACCGGGAGGAAGGCGGGGAUGACGUCAAAUCAUCAUGCCCCUUAUGUCUAGGGCUACACACGUGCUACAAUGGUGAGAACAACGAGAUGCAAUACCGCGAGGUGGAGCAAAACUUGAAAACUCAUCUCAGUUCGGAUCGUA